This 150-nucleotide microRNA precursor is filed under the name Drosophila busckii. RNAcentral's name for it is "mir-989 microRNA precursor family". It matches the Rfam family "mir-989 microRNA precursor family". The record is from Rfam by way of RNAcentral. Lineage: Eukaryota; Metazoa; Arthropoda; Insecta; Diptera; Drosophilidae.
GUUUUGGGAAUUGGCCACUACCUCGCAGUCACGUGAUGCUCAAACGUGCUUUCGUCAUAUUCUUGUCCAGUUUUGUCAAGGAUUUGUCGUCGGCCUUUUUGCGUUCUUAACAUAUUUCAUGUGAUGUGACGUAGUGGAACAUUCCUAACG